Long non-coding RNA from Plutella xylostella (diamondback moth), 403 nucleotides. RefSeq lists it as uncharacterized. Lineage: Eukaryota; Metazoa; Arthropoda; Insecta; Lepidoptera; Plutellidae. The record is from RefSeq and is a predicted model, not a curated record.
GCUGAAUCCUGUGUUUUAAUUGUACAUUAUAUCUAAGGAUGGCGCCUUUAAGAAAAGUCUCAGAUCGACAAAUGGACAUUUUGUUGGAGUUCGUUGAAAGACAUAAAGAGCUUGCUGUUGGCCGGUACCCUCCCGGCCCACUAGGCAUACAAUCAGCACGUUGGCUAUGGGACAGUGCAGCAUUACAAAUACCUAUAUGAAUUAUAUUCAAUUGGGUCUGGAUUUACAAAAACUGGUAAAAAAAUCUGACGGGCAUUCACAUGUAAAGUGACAAUGUGCAAUCAUAACUUAAAGGUUAAAGUAGAAAAAAUAUUUUAAUAAUGAUUAUAGUAAGACUGGUAGAAGCAAAAUGUGAUAGGAAGUUAUGUGAUUUAAAAUCAAAAAUAAAAGCCAUUAAUAUAAA